UGUGAUGGUCUUAAUAUAUUAAAACUGUUCAGUUAGCCACGGUUGAACGAAGGCUACAAUUCAUUUAAGUAUGUUGAUAAUGAACUAAAUCAAGAAAGUACUAUAUUCACUUAUUAAGAAACAUAGACACAGUUUUUCUCUUGCCCCAAGCUGUGUAUGCUUAAACUUUAACUUUUUACAGAUGAAAAGCAAAGGGAAGAACAUUCAAAUUUGAGUUGCUGAUAAUUUGAAAUUAUUGGAUCAUUUAUGUCCUUGAGGCUUUAGUUGACAAACGGUUAAACUGAGAGGCUUCAACUUGUAGUGGCACUCUGCUUUGCUUGGAUUCUUAUGCCCUUUUGAACUCUUAGAAGGUCGAGCAACUUUUUAUAUCAAUGGCUCCUCCUUCCCCAAGAAUUAAUCAAAUAGGGAGGGUGAACCAAAAUGAACGGUUGAGUUAAUAUCAAGUAGAGUGGUUAAAAAAUUAGGCCAAAACAGAAUGCUCCCAUGGCAUCUAAGAUAUAAUUGUAAAUAUGGCCCUUAUGCUCUCUUCUGCUCUACAUUUCAAGGGCUGCAAAAGGUUCUUCAAAGGUUCUGAACAGCUUCUUGGGCAGCUUUGACAGCUUGAUUAUUCAUACCAAUAAUGCAUCCUGAUUUCUUCAUCUACUAGACUUCUGAUCUUCAACCCACCUGUAUAUCUCAUUAGCUCGAUCCUUUAAAUAAAAAACCAAAUGCAACAUAAGAGGAUUAAAAUAUUGGUGUCUACUCCAAUGAAGAUUUAAUGAUUGUCAUCAUGUGAAGAUACAUCAUUUUGACCAUUAGAUUAUAGAUUGUAGGACUUGAUUUUUAUUUGAAGUAAAAGUAUUACUUUUAUUUAAAGUGUUGCUAAACAAGUAAGUUACACUUUUUAAACAAGGAUCAUCAUGAAAAGAUAUUUUUGGCAUCUUCAUGGGAGUAGUUGCCUAAAAUAUUUAUUAACUUAACACAGAGCUUGAAACCUGAGGUUCUUGACAAACAAAACAUAAACAAUUAAAUACGACUAUCAUGGUAAAAAUGACACAUGAAAUAACACACUACUCACAGAAUGUGUUUUUCAACGUUAAAUAUGAAUUAUACAUGCAAAGAAAGGCAUAAUACAGAGAUUUAGUAAUAAUCCAGAGUUCAGAAAAGCAUAAUCAUCCAAGAAACCAGGUGUUUUAGAUGGAGAAUUUCUCAAACUAUGGUUCAGCCUUUGGGUUUCAGCAUUGUGAAGUUGCUUCCUAAUAAAUAAUGCUGCUUUUUCAGAGCAAGAAUGUUUUUUGGUAUGUUUCUAAUUGCUUACACAAACUACAUUAGCCAAUUCUACUUUUACUUCUAUAUCCAUCAUCUAUAAAAAAACCCGAUUAUGAAACCUCUAAAUUUACACAUUACUUAAAAAUCCAUUGGAUGAUUAAAAUUACCAGCAGAAUGCACAGAUGAUAUUUAUAUGUUGUUGUUAUCUGAGAAGCAGAUGAAUAAGAAUCUUUAUCCGUAACUCCCAAACAAGCCCCAGCUGAAAGAUCUCUAGAAAUAACACACCAAGACCAUCAAACCUUAAAGCAGAAAUUGAUAAAUUAAAACCAAGUUAUGUAGAGGAAAUGCAACAUACCAAGAGGAAUUGUAGUCAAGGUUCAAUCACUAACAAAUUCAAGGUUCAAUCACUAACAAAUUCAACUCAGUGAUGAUUUUCAACAAAAAAAAAAAAAGAUUUAGCUAAUUAUUUGAGUAAGACAGCAACAAAAUCAAAGUUCAGUAACGAUAAUUAGGAACCAAUUCAUCUCAGUGAUGAUUCUCAGCAACAAAAAAUCUAGCUCAAUGAUAUUUUCAACAACAAAUUAUGGAUGGUUCAGUGAUAAUCAGUAACAAAUUCAUGUCGGUGAUUAUUUUCAGCAACAAAAAGAGUAGUUCAGUGAUAUUUUCAGCAGCAAAAUCAAACACAGCAACAAACAGAAAAAGAAAGAACAGGGGAAUUUGUUGGGACUCACCAAAUCGGGACCAGCUUCUGGUUGCGCGAAGGAAGCUGACAGCGAGAGUUGCUGACAGCGAGGAGGAAGCCCUGGGACCUGCUGCUUCUGCUGCCGGCAACAAGCGCAACGAAGGUGCGGGACUGACUGCAAGAGGGUGACGAGACAGGGAGAGACGAUGACGACCAGUCCCAGGAUCUGCUGCUUCUGCUGUCGGCGACGACGACGGCAGGGAAGGCGAGCGAGCGAGACUGAGUGGGAGACCAGAGACUGUGAGAGAGACCGGAGCCGAGAGAGCGACGACGAGCUUGAGUGCCAGUCCGGAGACAGUGAGGGAGACCGGAGACGAGAGAAGGAGAGAGCUUGCGUGCGAGGGCAAUGAGCCACAGCGAGAGAGAUGAGAGAGCUCGAGAGCUUCAGUGAAGAGUGACGUUAAGGGAGGAGAAGGUAGAGUUUAGGAUUGCUGAACGACGUCGUAUCAGCAAUUAAAAAAAAUGAACCGGUUCGGUUUAUGUGAACCAAACAGGGUCAAACUGAGUUUUUAAACCGAGUUUACAGAAUAAUUUAUUAACCGAUUUUUUAAAUACAACCAAUUAAAAUGUAACAUGUCAACAACUUUAAAAAAGAUGUUUGUAACAUGUUUA
This 2602-nucleotide long non-coding RNA is filed under the name Arachis ipaensis. Its description in RNAcentral is "long non-coding RNA (AIPA_LNC001157)". Lineage: Eukaryota; Viridiplantae; Streptophyta; Magnoliopsida; Fabales; Fabaceae. The record is from RNAcentral.